UGUAUCUGAAGUCUGACGAGGAUGAGAACCUCCGGGGGCAAGAGGUUCGACUCGAGCGAAGCGAGAGAACGUUGCGUCAGCAACGGCCCGCAGGGCGAGCCACCCUCUAUCACCGGCAG
This 119-nucleotide small RNA is filed under the name Salmonella enterica subsp. enterica serovar Derby. Its description in RNAcentral is "RtT sRNA". It matches the Rfam family "RtT RNA". From Rfam's summary of the family: This family represents a bacterial cis-regulatory element known as RtT RNA. The exact function of RtT is unknown although it is thought that it may be involved in changing the cellular response in relation to amino acid starvation. The record is from RNAcentral. RNAcentral also lists the same sequence under 11 other names. Lineage: Bacteria; Pseudomonadati; Pseudomonadota; Gammaproteobacteria; Enterobacterales; Enterobacteriaceae.